ACACGACUACAUUAGAUACCCGCGUAGUCCCAGCCCUAAACGAUGCGCGUUAGGUGUAUCGGUGACCACGAGUCACCGAGGUGCCGAAGGGAAACCGUGAAACGUGCCGCCUGGGAAGUACGGUCGCAAGGCUGAAACUUAAAGGAAUUGGCGGGGAGCACCACAACGGGUGGAGCCUGCGGUUUAAUUGGACUCAACGCCGGGAAGCUCACCGGAUAAGACAGCGGAAUGAUUGCCGGGCUGAAGACUCUACUUGAUGAUCUG
RNAcentral lists this ribosomal RNA (264 nucleotides) under uncultured archaeon. RNAcentral's name for it is "partial 16S ribosomal RNA". It matches the Rfam family "Archaeal small subunit ribosomal RNA", at positions 717 to 982 of the family's 1478-position model. The record is from RNAcentral.